Molecule: long non-coding RNA, 220 nt
Filed under: Glycine max (soybean)
Lineage: Eukaryota; Viridiplantae; Streptophyta; Magnoliopsida; Fabales; Fabaceae
Description: long non-coding RNA (GMAX_LNC000483)
Source: RNAcentral
ACACUAACUACAUUAGGACUAAUUUAAUCAUUGAUGGCAAACUCCAAAAAUAUUCCUUCUCUAUUCCCUUUGUCUCUUGUGCACAGUGCCACACUCUCCCUCCAGCUCCAAAACAAGAAUAGUGCAUUCAACAGUUAAUGCAUAUUAAAAAGGGGGGAGUAUUAUACCAGCAAGAUCAAACAAAGAAGUACCAUCUCCUCCGAGGCAAACAGUGGCUAAA